UGCGGAGGGAGCUAGCGUUGUUCGGAAUUACUGGGCGUAAAGCGCACGUAGGCGGCUUUGUAAGUUAGAGGUGAAAGCCCGGGGCUCAACUCCGGAAUAGCCUUUGAGACUGGAUUGCUUGAAUCCGGGAGAGGUGAGUGGAAUUCCGAGUGUAGAGGUGAAAUUCGUAGAUAUUCGGAAGAACACCAGUGGCGAAGGCGGCUCACUGGACCGGCAUUGACGCUGAGGUGCGAAAGCGUGGGGAGCAAACAGGAUUAGAUACCCCGGUAGU
Molecule: ribosomal RNA, 271 nt
Filed under: uncultured bacterium
Lineage: Bacteria
Description: partial 16S ribosomal RNA
Rfam family: Bacterial small subunit ribosomal RNA
Source: RNAcentral